UACAGAGGGCUCAAGCGUUGUUCGGAUUCAUUGGGCGUAAAGGGUGCGUAGGCGGCGCGGUAAGUCAGGGGUGAAAUCUCGGAGCUUAACUCCGAAACUGCAUUCGAUACUGCCGUGCUUGAGGACUGGAGAGGAGACUGGAAUUUACGGUGUAGCGGUGAAAUGCGUAGAUAUCGUAAGGAAGACCAGUGGCGAAGGCGGGUCUCUGGACAGAACCUGACGCUGAGGCACGAAGGUCAGGGGAGCAAACGGG
Molecule: ribosomal RNA, 253 nt
Filed under: uncultured bacterium
Lineage: Bacteria
Description: partial 16S ribosomal RNA
Rfam family: Bacterial small subunit ribosomal RNA
Source: RNAcentral